This 6388-nucleotide long non-coding RNA is filed under the name Homo sapiens (human). Its description in RNAcentral is "HSALNT0001130". Lineage: Eukaryota; Metazoa; Chordata; Mammalia; Primates; Hominidae. The record is from RNAcentral.
CCAAAAGUGAUGUCCAAGUCCUAACCCCCAGAACAUGAGAAAGGGACCGUAUUUCGAGAAUGGGUCUUUGCAGAUGUAAUGAAGGAUCUUGAUAUCAUUCUGGAUUGAGGAUGGACUCUAGCUCCACUGACAGGUGUCCUUAUGAGAAAAAGGUAGAGGCAGAUUUGAGACACAGACACAGGGGAGACGGCCAUGAGAAGACAGAGGCAGAGAUUGGAGUGAAGCAACCACAGGCCAACAAGUCACCGAUACCAGAAGAAGCAAGGAAGGAGUCUGUCCUACAGUCUUCAAAGGGAGCGUGGAUCUACUGACACCCAGAUUUUGGACUUCUGACCUCCAGAGCGGUAAGAAAAUAAAUUUCUAUUGUUUUAGGCUACCAAGUUUAUUACAGCAGGCUCAGGAAACUAAUACUCUAGGUGACGUCUGCUCCUCCACCCCAUGCCUCUGCAUGCUUGGGUUACAACAGAGAGUGCUUUCCCCUUGGUUGAACAACACUUUUUUUCUUGAGAAAAGAAAACAUAAGGGUAAAGCAGUUUUUGGAAGGGUUACUCAGCCAGCUAGAUCGUCAGAAUCAACUCUGGUAGGAGUGGGCCACAAACAUCCAUCCUAGGGCAUCCGGAGAGAGUCAUUCUCCCUAACAAUAGCUCUGGGCAUGGCUCUGUAUUCGUCUGUUCUUGCAUUGCUAUAAAGAACUACCUGAGACUGGGUCAUUUAUAAAGAAAAGAGGUUAAAUUGGCUCACGGUUCCACAGGCUGUACAGGAAGCAUGGUUGGGAGGCCUCAGGAAACUUACAAUCAUGGCGGAAGGUGGAGGGCAAGCAGACACGUCCCACGUGACUGGAGCAGGAGGAAAAGAGAGCGAAGGGGGAGGUGCUGCACACUUUCAAACAACCAGAUCUCACGAGAACUCACUCACUAUCACGAGAACAGCAAGGGGGAAGUUUGCCCCCAUGAUCCAAUCACCUCCCGCCAGGCCCAUCUUCCAACAUUGGGGAUUAUAAUUUGACAUGAGAUUCGGGCAGGGCCACAAAUCCAAACCGUAUCAGGCUCCACAUUUUGUUUCUUUGUUUUUUUUUUUCCCUGUCCUUCCCUCUACCUGAAGCUCAUUUGAAAGCAAGUUUCCAUUGCUGCUAUUCCUUCCUUACUUUGGUCAGAAUCCUCUUUUUGUGGUAUCAUAAAUGGUUUCCAUGGAAACAAAAGGUUAGGAUAGAACAGUGCCAAUGUGCAUGUAAACUUCAGAAUUAAACAAGGGCUGUUGUUUUUGCCUGUCAUGGAGUUCCGUUCAUUCUGAACAUGUCACCGGGGACUUUGGAAUGUGUAUCCAUAACUCCCUGAUUUUCAACCACAUUCCAGCCUGCCUGACUCAUGAAGCGUGGAGCGACCCAGGAACAUCCCAGCUCCUCAUGUCCCACAUUCUUCAGGCUUUCUCUUAGUUUUGGCAUGUGCAUGUAAAUGUCAACAGAUCAAUAAAGGCAAAAACCAGGAGAUCCCAUAAAUCCCGCUGAGCCUGUCAUAGCUAUCAAAUUAUACCCAGAUAAAGCUUCUGGUGGCUAAUGACAUGGCCAUCACCCAGCGUGGACGUGGGCAGGAGGGGCUCUCCGGGAGCAUCUGGUCUGCUGUGGAGACACUUGUCAUCUGGAGGCUCUGUGGCUCUAAUGGAGGGUGAUGCUUUGAACGCGACUAUCUCCCCCAUAAAAAAAUAAAUAAAUAAUAAGUAUAAUUUAAAAAUAAACAAAGAUCUGGAUUUGCAGGCUACUUACUGUCGCAGGACCAAGAUUAAUGGCCAGUGGUAAGUUUUCGUGAAGAUCUUCUGUAGCCCGAUUAGCCGUGCUGGGAAUCCGGAGAGAUAAUGUCUUUUCACAUAUAAAAGAUCCUAUUGAUUUCCUGUUAGUAUCAUCCUGAAAAUGUGCAGUGUAUAUCUAUGAAGCAGAGACAAUCUUCCAUCACUUGUUUUAUGGGAAGAGAAUGGUUAUUGUAUCUCUUCCCAUAAAAUAUAAUCUCUUUUUCUCUUCCAAAAUCUACUCGUCCCUCUGGGAAUUUCCACUUGUAAUCUGUGGAAGUGAAUUGAUUUUUUUAUUUUGUUUUAUUUUUUGCAUGUGCCGGUAUUUUUAUAUUUGGCUUCUCUACAUUUUCUCAUUGUUCUCUGGAGUCUGGCUUUUCUAGAUUGUUAUUUGAGGUUGUCUAAAAAUAAGUAAAAAAAAAAAAAAAUCAGUCCCAUUGAAACACGCACAGCCAUGUGCCCGACAGUGGGUGUCAGGUUCCUGUGACUGCUCCCACUGCGGUGCCCCACCUUUCUCCCCCGUCGGGGCCUGGCGUUUGUAAGUUCCUCAGAGGGCUUCGGAGGCAGUAAGAGGUUGCCUGGUGGGUUCCAAUAGGAUGCCGAUGCAAAAUACCAAGUUACUGAAUGAAGGAAGUGCUCUUCCUGCUGACUGGGGUUCUCAGCGUUAUGUCUGGGCAUUGCUUCAGGAUCAAUUAAGACGCAAGGGCAGAGUCCUACAUAUUUAAAUACUGUGCCCUGAGCAGCGGCUUCCUAAGCUAAUGAGUUUGGCUGAGAAGACCCCAGCAAUGCAGUCCUGUCCAGACCUUAAAUAGAGAGCUUUGCAAACUGGAGCUCCAGCUAUGAAGCCAAUCCUCAUGGUUCUGCCUGCACCUCUUUAUUAAGUGUCACCCUCCGAUCUCUCAGCUGGUUGGGAAAAAUCUGUAUCAGUCAUUACCCUUGCUCAAGCCCAGACUGGGUCAUCUGGCCACAGCAGGAGAUGCAGCGGGCAACAGCAGCAGGAGAUGCAGCGGGGAACAGCAGCAGGCAUGGAGCUGAGACAAGAUUUCACUGUGAAGACAGUUUCCGGGGAGAGGCUGGGUCCGAAGCUGCAUCUCCAUGUCCCAGGAGUACCUUUCAAAGCUUCCCCUGUCCUGGCCUCAAGCUCUAGGAGCUUUGAAAAAAUGCUUGCAUUUUGGGCCGGGCCUGGUGGCUCAUGCCUGUAAUCCCUGCACUUUGGGAGGCUGAGGCGGACAGAUCGCUUGAGGUCAGGAGUUUGAGACCAGCCUAGCCAAUAUGGCGAAACCCUAUCUCUGCUAAAAAUACAAAAAUUAGCUGGGUGGUGGUGGGUCAGCACCUGUAAUCCCAGCUACUUGGGAGGCUGAGGCAGGAGAAUCACUUGAGCCUGGGAGGCAGAGGUUGCAGUGAGCUGAGAUCACGCCACUGGACUCCAGCGUGGGUGACAGAGUGAUACGCUGUCUCAAAAAAAAAAAAAAAGCCUGGAAAAUAUGCUUGCAUUUUGAAUAUCUAUCUAUCUAUCUAUAUAUUUUGUAUCUGUAAAAGAAAAAAUAUUCAGGACUCUCUAAAUGUAUUAUGCCAUGUGGGGAGUUAAGCCCUGGAAACUCCCAUAGCAUGUAUGCAACUUCUGCUCUUAGGUGAUAGUUUAACUCUCUUCCUCAUUGCUCUUGUUCUGUAAAUGACUGGGAGAGACCAGAGACCAAACCUCCUCCCCUUCCAAUCACUGAUCUUUGUUGUAGAUGAACUGCCUUCUUUAUUGUCCCGUGCCUAACCUAGACCAGAUGGGACAAAAGACCCCAUGUCUAUUACAUCUUUAGUGUGGAAGGUUAAAUAUACCUUUCCCAAAAAGAAAGACUACCUCAACCAACCAGAUAUUGUAAUUAUGCAUUAAACCUUAUAUAGAAAGACGUUGAGAUUCUGUUCCGCUUCCCCAAGCUUUGUCUAUAUAAACAGUUGCAAACUUCUACACUUUGGAGCACUGACUUCCAUUCUUUGGAAUCUGUGCUUCCCAGGCAGCUCAUCUUCAAACUUUGUGCCUGAAUAAACUCCCUUUAAACCAGACUCUGACCAUUUUGAUUAUUUUAAGUUGACAUAUCAAAAUAGUAUACAUACAAUAACAAGUAAAAAAAAGCAGAAAGAUAAUAAUAUUGAAAAGCGGCAAUCUCACCCCAGUCCCCAAAGCGAUUUUAACUGUUUCUUUCUUUAAUUCUUCUGGAAUUUCCUCUGCUGCUCUAUGAUCAUACCUCUUGAUGUGGUUUGGUUCUGUGUCCCCACCCAAAUCUCAUCUUGAAUUGUAAUUCCCACAUGUGGAGGGAGGGACCCGUGAUCCCCACGUGUCAGGGGAGGGAGGUGAUAGGGUCAUGGGGACAGUUUUGCUCAUGCUUCUUUUGAGAUAGGGUCUCACCCUGUUGCCCAGGCUGAAGUGCAGUGGUACUUCUCCUCUUCUCCUCCUUCUUCCCCUCCUCCUCCUCCUCCUCCUCCUUCUUCUCCUUCUCCUUCUUUCUUCUUUCUUUUUCUUCUUCUUUUGAGAUAGGGUCUCACCCUGUUGCCCAGGCUGAAGUGAUAAUGAGUGAGUUCUCACGAGACCUGAUGGUUUUAUAAGGGGCUCUUCCUGCUUCACUUUCUCUCUCUCUCCUGCUGCCAUGUAAGACAUGCCUGCUUCCCCUUCCGCCACGAUGGUAAGUUUCCUGAGGCCUCCCAGUCACGCAGAACUGUGAGCCAAUUAAACCUCUUUCCUUUAUAAAUUACCCACUCUUGGGUAGUAUCUUUAUAGCAGUGUGAAAACAGACUAAUACACCUCUCUGAUUUGAUUUAUCAGUUUUGGACAAUACCUUCCAACUCCUAAAUAGGAAGAUGAAAAUUUAGCUCAAAAACAUUCUACCUCUUCCCUCUCUGCCCUUUUCUCUCUUUUUAUUUUUCGUCACUGCUUUAACGGAUAUAUAAUUCACAGGUCAUAAAAUUCACUCUGUUAAAGUGUACCAUUCAUUGGUUUUUAGUACACAGAUCCACAAAGUUGUGCAACCAUCUCUAAAUCCACUGUGCACCAUUCUCUAAAACCAGAACGUUUUUGUCCCUGCAAAAAAGAAGCCCCUAUCUUCAUUAGCAAGGACUCUUAUUAUUCAUUCUUCUCAACCCCUGGCAUCCUCACCAAUGCUUGUUAUUUUUCUGUCUGUCCUUCUCCUCCUUUUCUCCUUCUCCUCUUCUCGUUCUUCCCCUCCUCCUCCUUCUUCUCCUUCUUGUUCUUUCUUCUUCUUCUUCUUUUGAGAUGGAGUCUCACCCUGUUGCCCAGGCUGAAGUGCAGUGUCAUGAUCACAGCUCACUGCCCUCAACUUCUUGGACUUCUUCUUCUUUUGAGAUAGGGUCUCACUCUGUUGCCCAGGCUGAAGUGCAGUGGCAUGAUCACGGCUCACUGUCCUCAGCCUCUUGGGCCUCUUCUUCUUUUGAGAUAGGGUCUCACCCUAUUGCCCAGGCUGAAGUGCAGUGGCAUGAUCACAGCUAACUGUCCUCAACCUCUUGAGCCUCUUCUUUUGAGAUAGGGUCUCACCCUAUUGCCCAGGCUGAAGUGCAAUGGCAUGAUCACAGCUAACUGUCCUCAACCUCUUGAGCCUCUUCUUCUUUUGAGAGAGGGUCUCAUUCUGUUGCCCAGGCUGAAGUGCAAUGGCAUGAUCAUAGCUCACUGCCUUCAACAUCUUGGGCCCAAGCCAUCCUCCCACCUCAACCUUCCUCCUGAGUAGCUGGGACCACAGAUGCACACCACCAUGCCCGAUUAUUUUUUUAAAAAAUAUUUGUAGAGAUGAGGUUUCGCUAUGUUGCCCAGGCUUGUCUAAACUCUUGGGCUCAAGUGGUCCUCCUGCCUUGGCCUCCCAGAGUGCUGAGAUUACAGGCAUGAGUUACCUCACCUGGCUGUCUUUCUUCUUAUAGCCAUCAUGAUGGAUGUAAAGUGGUGUCUAAUUGUGGUUUUGAUUUGCAUAUAUCCCUAAUUAUUUUGAGCUUGUUUUUUCACGAGCUUAUUGGUCAUUUAUAUAUUUUCUUUGGAGAAAUGUCUAUACAAACCUUUCAGUCAUUUUUAAAUUGGAUUGCCUGUUUAUUGUUAAGUUGUAACAAUUGUUUACAUAUUCUGGAUACUAGACCCUUACAGAUAUAUGAUUGCAUAUAUUUUCUCUCAUUCUAUGGGUUGUCCUUUUUAUUUUCUUGAAUGGUGUCCUUUACAUGACCAAAGUUUAAAUUUUUAAUGAAGUUCAAUUUAUUUUUUCUUUUGUCACUUGCACUUUUCGAGAUGUUUCUAAGAAAUUAUUGCCUAAUCCAAGGUCGUGAAGAUUUUUUACUCCUGUGUUUUCUUCUACGAUUUGUAUAGUCUUCGCUCUUACAUUCAGAGCUGAUUGUGCCAUGUGGGGAGUUAAGCCCUGGAAACUGUCACAUAGCAUGCUUGCAACUGCUGCUUCUUAGGUUAUAGUUUAACUGUCUUCCUCAUUGCUCUGAUAGGGAUUGUGCUCAAUCUGUGGACUAAUAUGGGAGUUGGCAUCUUAACAGUAUUGUCUUCCAAUCUGUGAACAUAGAUUCCAUUUAUCUAGAAUGUUAAUUUCUUUCUUUCUUGAUUUCUUUUUUUUUUUUUUUC